CGUGGCCCAGGGUGGUCCCCGAGAGGGUGGUCCCCACGUGGGCAGACCAGGAGUCCAUCCUCCCCCCCACACUGUACCGCCCUGCAG
RNAcentral lists this microRNA precursor (87 nucleotides) under Mus spretus (western wild mouse). Its description in RNAcentral is "microRNA 7032 (ENSMSPG00010047050.1)". The record is from RNAcentral. Lineage: Eukaryota; Metazoa; Chordata; Mammalia; Rodentia; Muridae.